RNAcentral lists this small RNA (194 nucleotides) under Xylariales sp. No.14919. RNAcentral's name for it is "fungal sp. No.14919 A. fumigatus sRNA Afu_182". It matches the Rfam family "A. fumigatus sRNA Afu_182". Lineage: Eukaryota; Fungi; Ascomycota; Sordariomycetes; Xylariales. The record is from Rfam by way of RNAcentral.
AAAAUAACAACGCAAAAUAACAACAUUCUCGGGAAAUGCAUAAUUUGAUGCGAGGUUGCCUACUUCGGUGCCCCAAGACCAUUGAAAGCUCUCAGACAGAAUGGAGAACAAAUACUAUCGAACAAUCUUGGGUGCGGUGUUUCCCUAUCCUCUUUCAAGGGUGAUGGGAAGGAUCGCAAUGAUUGAGCGUACAU